Molecule: long non-coding RNA, 2579 nt
Organism: Lethenteron reissneri (Far Eastern brook lamprey)
Lineage: Eukaryota; Metazoa; Chordata; Hyperoartia; Petromyzontiformes; Petromyzontidae
Source: RefSeq, a predicted model, not a curated record
CCAGCCUGGCCUCAAACACUGCCUCCGGAGACCCCCCCGCUCGCCGCUUGCGCUGCUUGCUGCUUCGUGCCCACGUGCGCAGUUCGCGCUGCCCGUGGCCCUUCUAGCGGCGGAUUUGUUGCUGUUUUGCAAAUGGUCACGCACUCGUGUUCACUGCAGCAUGAAAAGAACGUCUGGUAUUUGGUCCUAAGCCACGCGCAGAUGGCGAGCAGCCGUUUCAAUUGCGCACUUCUUGAGGCGUCCAAAUCGGCCUGGAAAAUAAACAGCGGCUCGCUUUCUUUUACCGAUGCGUACCUCCCCAAAUUCCUCAGCACCACCAAUAUAGAUUCGUGACGAUGCCGAGACUGUCAACACUGUAGAUGAGAGAGCCAGGUUUUAAUUACAAGUUGCUUGCUUGGACCCAGGAUCUUCAGUGUGCCAGCUCAGCACUGUGACCUUUUGAGCCACCCAACGACCCUAACUCAAUUUUAGUCAAUAAAAAUCGUAGACAUUAAUGUGUUUUUUUUCAUAUUAAAAUUCUAGUACCAAAACUAAAUAGUAUAAAAUAAUAUCACAGUGCGAUUUUAUCCACAAUACAGCAGCAGUCUGUUAAAAUUAACGUCCCAACAAAUAAACUGAAGCAUUGCACCAUGUUGUAACGAUGUAAACUUAUUGGCAUGUGAUAUUUACUGUGAAGAAACCGGUAAUAAAAGGGAGCACAUGAAGCAGACGUUGCAAUAACAACUGCGUUUCAAUAGCCUAGGUUUUAUUGGACCAUAUCUUACGAUGGAAAUCCCCAAAAAGUUUGGUGAAAAGCAGUAAAAAAUUGGAUGACGUGGUCCCAUAUUUGGCCACAUUUGUUUUAAAAGUCAAUAAAUGGCACGUUUCUGAAUUAUAUUUCUGCGGAAAUGUGUCCGAGAUUAUCUGCAAAAGCUGAAAAUACCAAAUUCCUAGCAUACAGUACCCUACGAUGCAAUUCGUCUUGGUUUUUCUGUAGCUUAAGAAUGCUAAGGUAUCUCAAGACGCCGCACAAUCGUGACAGGGCAAUACAUCACAAGGGUGCGGUGAGGAUAAAGCAGAUAUUAACACAAAAAUAUUCGGCUUUGAUGCGCUCUGUGUAUGGGUCAUAGCAAGGUACAGUACUUAUAUAAAGCAUCCAGAGAGAACACAGUUUAAAAUCAAUGUACAGAGGGCAAGUCAGAUCCAAGGACGGAAAAGUAAACGACUGUGCAAGACUGUAGGAACAGCAGAGGAGAAUGAGUGACCUCCUUUUAUGCAGAUGCACUUGAUUUGACGAAAAUGAGUCUCCCCAUCGCUAGCAUUACGAAGCAGUGUUAACCUUUUAAACAGUCUUUAUGGUGCAUAAAACAUUACAAUUACCAUUGUAAUGACAAAUGAUCACAAAAAUUGCAUACUAAAAACAAUAUCUUUAUUCAGCACAGUGCAGUAAAUUUGAGGGUUGAAGCAGUGAUGCAGUGGAUAUCCCGCAGCGCUCCGAGCUCGACUCCCCGAGUUUGAUUCCAGGCUACGGCACUGUGGCGAGAUGUUAACUCCUUCGCCUGGCAUGCAGGAGGAUAUGAGUCGUACCCAACCCUGACGCCUGGAUAGUUGGAGUUUGCACGUCUCUCUCCCUGUGGUGGUGUGGAAUUUUCUCCGGGUCGUCCGGUUUUUCCCCCCACAUUAGAAUGAACAUGCGUUUAAGAGUAUUUGGCUGUUAUACAUUUCCACGUGAUAAGCCACUUUGUUGAGCGAUAAUUUGUGGCCGGGUCGCUUCUGAAAAAGACCCAUAUAGCUCAGUGGGCCUUACCUGGUAAAAUAAAAUGUUUAGUUUCGUUGACCAACCCACACGAACCAGCCUAGUGUGGUGACGUACUCUACAGUUAAACAGCUCGCAUGGCUCACAUGGCAUGGGAAGGCCUUCAUCCAGCAGUGGAUCGACAAAGAGGUGAAAUGUAUUAUUCCUGUAUAAUGAAUCGGUCAACACAGUAUCGAGUAGUUUGUAUUAUUUUAAUGUGCAAAUACAAUUACUUGUAUUUAAAUUCCCGCUAUCUAGACGAUACUUUAAAAAUGCAAUUAAGAGUGUUGUAAUGCAAUUUGAAAGUGUUCAGUCAAAUCGUACUUAUGCUGCAGAGAACAAUUCUACAAUUUUUAAAUACUCCGAAUAAAAACUGCGUGUUGGUGCUUACAGGUGCAGUGGGUUAGUUAACUGCCCCUGUGAACUCGGCAUCCUGAAUUCUAUUGCCACUCACGGUUAACAUCGGUGGCGAGUGAUACCUGAACCGUUCCUGGACACCCCACACUUCUGCACCCCCCCCACCCCCAAACCUUCCCCCCGCUUAACCAGCCUCCACCGACCAAAGUGGUGAAGUAUUAUCACACAAACAGACUUUGUAACCCACACGGGGUAGGGAUACUUUAAUACAGCAGUGCUUUGACUACAGCGGUCACACAAUCCGAUUUAAAUACAACAUACUGUAGACUGAAUGGAAACACCUAAUACAGAUUCUUACGCGUGCUUUUCGACGCAAGUAUCAUGAGCUUAAGCAUCGAUAUUAACCGAUGAAUCGAUGCCAUUGAAUGCCAAUCUGAAUUUCCCCUGU